GCUGGGUGUGGUGACGCUUACCUGUAGUCCCAGCUACUUGGGAGGCUGAGGUGGGAGGAUCACCUGAGCCCAGGAUGUCGAGGCUGCGGUGAGCCAUUAUCGUGCCACAGCACUCCAGCCUGGGUGACAGAGUGAGAUCCCGUUUCAA
This 148-nucleotide non-coding RNA is filed under the name Pan troglodytes (chimpanzee). Lineage: Eukaryota; Metazoa; Chordata; Mammalia; Primates; Hominidae. The record is from Rfam by way of RNAcentral.